GCCCUGCCUGACUUCAAAUUAUACUACGAAGUGCUUGUAUUCAAAACUAAAUGGCUCUCCGAAGCUAAGCAGGGUCAGGCCUGGUUAGUACUUGGAUGGGAGACCACCUAGGAAGACCAGGUGCUGUAGGCA
Molecule: ribosomal RNA, 132 nt
Organism: Pteropus vampyrus (large flying fox)
Lineage: Eukaryota; Metazoa; Chordata; Mammalia; Chiroptera; Pteropodidae
Source: Ensembl